UGAUCCUAGCUCAGGAUGAACGCUAGCUACAGGCUUAACACAUGCAAGUCGAGGGGCAGCAUGGUCUUAGCUUGCUAAGGCUGAUGGCGACCGGCGCACGGGUGAGUAACACGUAUCCAACCUGCCGUCUACUCUUGGACAGCCUUCUGAAAGGAAGAUUAAUACAAGAUGGCAUCAUGAGUCCGCAUGUUCACAUGAUUAAAGGUAUUCCGGUAGACGAUGGGGA
Molecule: ribosomal RNA, 226 nt
Filed under: uncultured bacterium
Lineage: Bacteria
Description: partial 16S ribosomal RNA
Rfam family: Bacterial small subunit ribosomal RNA
Source: RNAcentral